This 498-nucleotide ribosomal RNA is filed under the name uncultured bacterium. RNAcentral describes it as "partial 16S ribosomal RNA". It matches the Rfam family "Bacterial small subunit ribosomal RNA", at positions 28 to 507 of the family's 1533-position model. The record is from RNAcentral.
GACGAACGCUGGCGGCGUGCCUAAUACAUGCAAGUCGAACGAGAGCGACCGGUGCUUGCACUGGUCAAUCUAGUGGCGAACGGGUGAGUAACACGUGGGUAACCUGCCCACCAGAGGGGGAUAAUAUCCGGAAACGGAUGCUAAAACCGCAUAGGUCUUCGAACCGCAUGGUUUGAAGAGGAAAAGAGGCGCAUGCUUCUGCUGAUGGAUGGACCCGCGGUGCAUUAGCUAGUUGGUGAGGUAACGGCUCACCAAGGUCGUGAUGCAUAGCCGACCUGAGAGGGUGGUCGGCCAGAUUGUGAGUGAGACACGGCCCAAACUCCUGCGGGAGGCAGCAGUAGGGAAUCUUACGCAAUGGACGCGAGUCGGACGGAGCAACGUCGCGUGAGUGAAGAAGGUUUUCUGAUCGUAAAGCUCUGUUGUUAGUGAAGAACAAGUGCUAGAGUAACUGUUAGCGCCUUGACGGUAUCUAGCCAGAAAGCCACGGCUAACUACGUG